RNAcentral lists this long non-coding RNA (274 nucleotides) under Bos taurus (domestic cattle). RNAcentral's name for it is "long non-coding RNA NONBTAT026779". Lineage: Eukaryota; Metazoa; Chordata; Mammalia; Artiodactyla; Bovidae. The record is from RNAcentral.
UUUCUGUUUCAAAACAAAAUUUCCAGGAAACAAAAUACUUAACAAUGGUUGGGUACAAAUGAAAUAAAAAUCACAGUUUCAAAGAACCAAAAUCAGACAACUGCUUAAAGGCAGAUUGCUUAGGAUAUUUUAUAGUAAAUUAUGCAUGAAAGUUUAUUAAUUGCAUAAACUUCCUGAGUGGCUCCCAUGCUGCACUAGGUCUACAUGCUUAAUAUUCAUAUCAAACAAAUUACAGCUUUAAGUGAUUGAGCAUGACAGACCUUGAACAACUGCA